GAUGAACGCUAGCGCUAGGCUUAACACAUGCAAGUCGAGGGGCAGCACAAGGUAGCUUGCUCUCUGGGUGGCGACCGGCGCACGGGUGCGUAACGCGUAUGCAACUUGCCCUAUACAGGAGGAUAACCCGUCGAAAGACGGACUAAUACUGCGUAUGCUCACAACUUGGCAUCAAGUGGUGAGGAAAGAAAUUCGGUAUAGGAUAGGCAUGCGUCCCAUUAGCUUGUUGGUGAGGUAACGGCUCACCAAGGCAACGAUGGGUAGGGGAACUGAGAGGUUUAUCCCCCACACUGGUACUGGGACACGGACCAGACUCCUACGGGAGGCAGCAGUGAGGAAUAUUGGUCAAUGGGCGCGAGCCUGAACCAGCCAAGUCGCGUGAAGGAUGACUGUCUUAUGGAUUGUAAACUUCUUUUAUACGGGAAUAACAAGAGUCACGUGUGACUCCCUGCAUGUACCGUAUGAAUAAGCAUCGGCUAACUCCGUG
RNAcentral lists this ribosomal RNA (487 nucleotides) under uncultured bacterium. RNAcentral describes it as "partial 16S ribosomal RNA". It matches the Rfam family "Bacterial small subunit ribosomal RNA", at positions 28 to 507 of the family's 1533-position model. The record is from RNAcentral.